This 497-nucleotide ribosomal RNA is filed under the name uncultured bacterium. Its description in RNAcentral is "partial 16S ribosomal RNA". It matches the Rfam family "Bacterial small subunit ribosomal RNA", at positions 28 to 507 of the family's 1533-position model. The record is from RNAcentral.
GAUGAACGCUGGCGGCGUGCCUAAUACAUGCAAGUCGAGCGAACAGACGAGGAGCUUGCUCCUCUGACGUUAGCGGCGGACGGGUGAGUAACACGUGGAUAACCUACCUAUAAGACUGGGAUAACUUCGGGAAACCGGAGCUAAUACCGGAUAAUAUAUUGAACCGCAUGGUUCAAUAGUGAAAGACGGUUUUGCUGUCUCUUAUAGAUGGAUCCGCGCCGCAUUGGCUAGUUGGUAAGGUAACGGCUUACCAAGGCAACGAUGCGUAGCCGACCUGAGAGGGUGAUCGGCCACACUGGAACUGAGACACGGUCCAGACUCCUACGGGAGGCAGCAGUAGGGAAUCUUCCGCAAUGGGCGAAAGCUUGACGGAGCAACGCCGCGUGAGUGAUGAAGGUCUUCGGAUCGUAAAACUCUGUUAUUAGGGAAGAACAAAUGUGUAAGUAACUAUGCACGUCUUGACGGUACCUAAUCAGAAAGCCACGGCUAACUACGUG